UGCCAGCCGCCGCGGUAAUACGUAGGUGGCAAACGUUGUUCGGAAUCACUGGGCAUAAAGAGUUUGUAGGCGGAUACAUAAGUCAGAUGUGAAAUCCCAGGGCUCAACCUUGGAACUGCAUUUGAAACUGUGUAUCUAGAAUACUGGAGAGGUGAGUAGAAUUUAUGGUGUAGCGGUGAAAUGCGUUGAUAUCAUAGAGAAUACCAAUGGCGAAGGCAGCUCACUGGCCAUGUAUUGACGCUGAGAGACGAAAGCUAGGGUAGCGAAAGGGAUUAGAUA
RNAcentral lists this ribosomal RNA (279 nucleotides) under uncultured bacterium. Its description in RNAcentral is "partial 16S ribosomal RNA". It matches the Rfam family "Bacterial small subunit ribosomal RNA", at positions 506 to 784 of the family's 1533-position model. The record is from RNAcentral.